AUUGAACGCUGGCGGCAGGCUUAACACAUGCAAGUCGAACGGUAACAUAAAGAAGCUUGCUUCUUUGAUGACGAGUGGCGGACGGGUGAGUAAUGCUUGGGAAUCUAGCUUAUGGAGGGGGAUAACUACGGGAAACUGUAGCUAAUACCGCGUAGAAUCGGGAGAUGAAAGUGUGGGACCUUCGGGCCACAUGCCAUAGGAUGAGCCCAAGUGGGAUUAGGUAGUUGGUGAGGUAAAGGCUCACCAAGCCGACGAUCUCUAGCUGGUCUGAGAGGAUGACCAGCCACACUGGGACUGAGACACGGCCCAGACUCCUACGGGAGGCAGCAGUGGGGAAUAUUGCGCAAUGGGGGCAACCCUGACGCAGCCAUGCCGCGUGAAUGAAGAAGGCCUUCGGGUUGUAAAGUUCUUUCGGUAGCGAGGAAGGCAUUUAGUUUAAUAGACUAGGUGAUUGACGUUAACUACAGAAGAAGCACCGGCUAA
This 483-nucleotide ribosomal RNA is filed under the name Terrahaemophilus aromaticivorans. Its description in RNAcentral is "bacterial SSU rRNA". It matches the Rfam family "Bacterial small subunit ribosomal RNA", at positions 30 to 500 of the family's 1533-position model. Lineage: Bacteria; Pseudomonadati; Pseudomonadota; Gammaproteobacteria; Pasteurellales; Pasteurellaceae. The record is from RNAcentral.